Molecule: ribosomal RNA, 2178 nt
Filed under: Triticum aestivum (bread wheat)
Lineage: Eukaryota; Viridiplantae; Streptophyta; Magnoliopsida; Poales; Poaceae
Description: partial small subunit ribosomal RNA
Source: RNAcentral
AUGGAGCCGCGCGAGAUCGCCGCCGCCGCGCGAAGCUUCUCGGCGAUGGCGCGGAUCGUCGGCCCGGACCCCAAGGCAGUCAAGAUGCGCCGCCACGCCUUCCACCUCCACCAGUCGGGGUCCACCACGCUGUCGGCGUCGGCCGUCCUCCUGCCGCCGGGCGCCCUGGCGGAGCCUUUGCCGCCGCUUCUAGCCCGUAUAUGCGCGUCCCACGGCCACGCCGGGGGCGUCGCGCUCACGGCCGCGUCGCUCGUCGAGGCGUUCCUGGUCGCGGAGCAGCGCGAUAGCCCCAGCGAGGUACUGCAGCCGAGGUUAAUACCAGAGGCGCGUCUCGAUGUGCUAGUUGAGCCUGAGGAAUCAGGGGACAUCAGACAUGGAGAUUCUGGAGCUCCCCAGUGGCUUUCAGCUGAGUUACUUGCCAUGGUUGAUGUCCCAGCGUCGGCUGAUCCUGUGUUAUCCUUGUUAACAUAUGAUGGUUCACUGAUUGGAAGCUCGUCAUGGGAUGUUGGCUGGCCACUGGCCGAUGUAAAUCAGAAGCAGGUUGAAAAUGAUGCCGGAUCCUUCCUUGAGUACAAUAGGAAGAAUUUAUAUGCUGAGUCUGCUGACCCAUCAACAAUAGCCAAGUCUGCCACAAGAAUCGCUGUACUAGGAGUCUCAGCCUUAACAUCGAGUAAUGCAGGACAUAUCAACGUUCCACCGAUUCCACAGCGAGGGGACUCUUUGCUGGUAGUGGGGUCUCCCUUUGGCAUCCUGUCACCAUUCCAUUUCUUCAACAGUAUAUCAGUUGGUGCUGUUGCAAAUUGCCUACCUCCAGGUGCUGUCAGGAGCUCGCUGCUGAUGGCUGACAUCCACUGUCUUCCUGGUAUGGAAGGUGCUCCAGUGUUUGAUAAAAAUGCUUGUCUUGUGGGGAUGCUGAUGAAGCCAUUAAGACAGAGAGGCAGCAACAUACAAGUUCAGCUUGUGAUUACAUGGGAUGGAAUAUGCACUGCAUGGAGCAGAAACAAACUGGAGCAAAUUGAGCAAGCCUCAAAUGAACUACUUGAUGACAAAAGUGCAGACAGUAAAACGAUGGAAUCAUGUGGCAUGGAUAACCAUAGGAGGUUUGUCUCUAAUUUAGCCAAUGACCUUAGUCAGUAUAGCAUUCCACCUUCACUCAGAGAGGCUAUAUCCUCGGUUGUUCUUGUCACGGUUGGUGAUACAACUUGGGCUUCAGGUAUUCUCCUCAACAAGAAUGGCUUAGUUCUGACAAAUGCUCAUCUUUUGGAGCCUUGGAGAUUUGGGAGAACUUCACCUUUAGGUUUACAACAUAAAACCACCUCACUUGCUGGAGAAUAUCUCCAUGGAGAAAAUAAAUUGUUGCAGUCACAGCAUUGCAAGAUGUCCAAUGAAGAUGCUGUUAAGCAUGAGGUUUCAUUCUUUAAUUUGGGUUCCAAGAGAGAGAAGAGAAUAUCUGUUCGUUUGGAUGAUGGGGAGAAACAGACGUGGUGUAGUGCUAGUGUGGUGUUUAUCUCCAAGGGGCCGCUUGAUGUUGCCUUGCUUCAAAUGGAAAAGAUCGCGAUUGAAUUUUGUGCAAUUAGACCAGAAUUUGUUUGUCCGACAGCAGGGUCGUCUGCAUAUGUUGUUGGGCAUGGUCUUCUUGGACCUCGAUCAGGUCUAUGUUCCUCGCUUUCCUCUGGGGUUGUCUCGAAAGUUGUCCAAAUUCCAUCAGCUCAACAUUCUCAUCUGCCUAGCAAUGUGCAGACAGACAAUAUGGACCUGCCAGUAAUGCUGCAGACAACAGCGGCAGUUCAUCCUGGAUCUAGUGGUGGUGUAAUUGUCAAUUCACAUGGUCGAAUGGUUGGACUUAUAACAAGCAAUGCUAAGCAUGGCGGUGGGAGCACAAUACCUCGUCUGAAUUUUAGCAUCCCCUGCAAAUCUCUGGAAAUGGUCUUCAAGUAUGCAGCGAAUGGAGAUUACACAAUUUUGGAGCAGCUGGAUAAACCAAAUGAAUUGCUCUCAUCAGUGUGGGCACUGGCACAAGCACCAUCAUCUCUCCCAUUUCUCAGUAGCCCCCCUGGGAAGAGCGGGGAGGGGAAAGUUUCGGAGUUCUCAAAGUUUCUCGCCAAUCAGAAAGAAGGUUUGACAUCUAUAAGUGAUUUGGAGGCUUUCCUUAAACACAAGAUUCCUAGUAAAAUUUAG